UCAUACGUAGGACCCAAGCGUUAUCCGGAUUGACUGGGCGUAAAGAGUUGCGUAGGUGGCAGUUUAAGCGAAUAGUGAAAUCUUGUGGCUCAACCAUAAGGCUAUUAUUCGAACUGGACUGCUCGAGAAUGGGAGAGGUAUCUGGAAUUCUUAGUGUAGGGGUAAAAUCCGUAGAUACUAGGAGGAACACCAAUGGCGUAGGCAGGAUACUGGACCAUUUCUGACACUAAGGCACGAAAGCGUGGGGAGCGAACCGGAUUAGAUACCCGGGUAGUCCACGCCGUAAACUAUGGAUGCUAGCUGUAUGCCGUAUCGACCCGGUAUGUAGCGAAGCUAACGCGUUAAGCAUCCCGCCUGGGGAGUACGGUCGCAAGACUA
RNAcentral lists this ribosomal RNA (378 nucleotides) under uncultured bacterium. Its description in RNAcentral is "bacterial SSU rRNA". It matches the Rfam family "Bacterial small subunit ribosomal RNA", at positions 521 to 896 of the family's 1533-position model. The record is from RNAcentral.